This 253-nucleotide ribosomal RNA is filed under the name uncultured bacterium. RNAcentral describes it as "partial 16S ribosomal RNA". It matches the Rfam family "Archaeal small subunit ribosomal RNA", at positions 474 to 727 of the family's 1478-position model. The record is from RNAcentral.
UACCAGCACCCCGAGUGGUCGGGACGAUUAUUGGGCCUAAAGCAUCCGUAGCCGGUCCUGCAAGUCUUCCGUUAAAUCCAGCUGCUCAACAGAUGGGCUGCGGGGGAUACUACAGGGCUAGGAGGCGGGAGAGGCAAGCGGUACUUUAUGGGUAGGGGUAAAAUCCGUUGAUCCAUAGAAGACCACCAGUGGCGAAGGCGGCUUGCCAGAACGCGCUCGACGGCGAGGGAUGAAAGCUGGGGGAGCAAACCGG